AUGCACGCUGGCGGCGUGCCUCAUACAUGCAAGUCGCGCGAACAGACGAGGAGCUUGCUCCUCUGACGUUAGCGGCGGCCGGGUGAGUAACACGUGGAUAACCUACCUAUAAGACUGGGAUAACUUCGGGAAACCGGAGCUAAUACCGGAUAAUAUAUUUAACCGCAUGGUUCAAUAGUGAAAGACGGUUUUGCUGUCACUUAUAGAUGGAUCCGCGCCGCAUUAGCUAGUUGGUAAGGUAACGGCUUACCAAGGCAACGAUGCGUAGCCGACCUGAGAGGGUGAUCGGCCACACUGGAACUGAGACGCGGUCCAGACUCCUACGGGAGGCAGCAGUAGGGAAUCGUCCGCAAUGGGCGAAAGCUUGACGGAGCAACGCCGCGUGAGUGAUGAAGGUCUUCGGAUCGUAAAACUCUGUUAUUAGGGAAGAACAAAUGUGUAAGUAACUAUGCACGUCUUGACGGUACCUAAUCAGAAAGCCACGGCUAACUACGUG
Molecule: ribosomal RNA, 496 nt
Filed under: uncultured bacterium
Lineage: Bacteria
Description: partial 16S ribosomal RNA
Rfam family: Bacterial small subunit ribosomal RNA
Source: RNAcentral